Molecule: long non-coding RNA, 564 nt
Organism: Glossina fuscipes
Lineage: Eukaryota; Metazoa; Arthropoda; Insecta; Diptera; Glossinidae
Exons: 2
Source: RefSeq, a predicted model, not a curated record
UGCAAAAAUUUUAUUUACAAAAAUUCUCUAUUUUUUAUUUUGGAAUGAAUAUUAUAAAUAAAAAAGUAAAAUAUAACUGGGUAUAUUAGCAGUACAGUGAAAUAUAACUGGGCAUAUUUCUUCUCAGGUUCGUCGUUUAUUGCUGCCGAUUAAUGAAUCGUUAUUAUCUAUACAUCAGCGGAUCAUAGCCACGGUAGCUGGCUGGAAAAAGCAGUAGCAACACUCAAAGAGGAGGAUGUAGUUUGGAAGAUCUACUUCGAUGAAAUAUUAACUAAUAAACACGCAACCUACAUCCGUUCGGAGGACAGCAGCAGCACUACGAGCAACGAGAAACACCAAACUGUCCUCAUCUUCGGAGUAGAAAGCCUGUUGGCCGCGUUCAAUCUCAUACUCAGCUAUCACCCAAUGACAUCCAAUCGAGAAAAUAUAGCAGACAUUCUGGAAAGAAAUAUACAACUAGUGAAAGAGCUAGGAUUGGACGUCAAGGCGGUCGUCUGCGGCGAAAACUCCGUACACAUAAACUUCUGCUCCGAUUGUUCCCGAACAGAGUAUACGAAAACGAUG